UACGAAGGGUGCAAGCGUUACUCGGAAUUACUGGGCGUAAAGCGUGCGUAGGUGGUGCGUUAUGUCUGUCGUGAAAUCCCCGGGCUCAACCUGGGAAUGGCGAUGGAUACUGGCGCGCUAGAGUGAGGUAGAGGAGAGUGGAAUUCCUGGUGUAGCGGUGAAAUGCGUAGAUAUGUGGAGGAACACCAGUGGCGAAGGCGGCUUCCUGGACUAAAACUGACACUGAGGCACGAAAGCGUGGGUAGCAAACAGG
This 253-nucleotide ribosomal RNA is filed under the name uncultured bacterium. Its description in RNAcentral is "partial 16S ribosomal RNA". It matches the Rfam family "Bacterial small subunit ribosomal RNA", at positions 524 to 776 of the family's 1533-position model. The record is from RNAcentral.